Molecule: ribosomal RNA, 2990 nt
Filed under: Salmonella enterica
Lineage: Bacteria; Pseudomonadati; Pseudomonadota; Gammaproteobacteria; Enterobacterales; Enterobacteriaceae
Description: 23S ribosomal RNA
Rfam family: Bacterial large subunit ribosomal RNA
Source: RNAcentral
GGUUAAGCGACUAAGCGUACACGGUGGAUGCCCUGGCAGUCAGAGGCGAUGAAGGGCGUGCUAAUCUGCGAUAAGCGCCGGUAAGGUGAUAUGAACCGUUAUAACCGGCGAUACCCGAAUGGGGAAACCCAGUGUGAUUCGUCACACUAUCAUUAACUGAAUCCAUAGGUUAAUGAGGCGAACCGGGGGAACUGAAACAUCUAAGUACCCCGAGGAAAAGAAAUCAACCGAGAUUCCCCCAGUAGCGGCGAGCGAACGGGGAGGAGCCCAGAGCCUGAAUCAGCAUGUGUGUUAGUGGAAGCGUCUGGAAAGGUGCGCGAUACAGGGUGACAGCCCCGUACACAAAAGCGCAUGUGCUGUGAGCUCGAUGAGUAGGGCGGGACACGUGGUAUCCUGUCUGAAUAUGGGGGACCAUCCUCCAAGGCUAAAUACUCCUGACUGACCGAUAGUGAACCAGUACCGUGAGGGAAAGGCGAAAAGAACCCCGGCGAGGGGAGUGAAAAAGAACCUGAAACCGUGUACGUACAAGCAGUGGGAGCACAGGUUUACCUGUGUGACUGCGUACCUUUUGUAUAAUGGGUCAGCGACUUAUAUUCUGUAGCAAGGUUAACCGUAUAGGGGAGCCGGAGGGAAACCGAGUCUUAACCGGGCGUUAAGUUGCAGGGUAUAGACCCGAAACCCGGUGAUCUAGCCAUGGGCAGGUUGAAGGUUGGGUAACACUAACUGGAGGACCGAACCGACUAAUGUUGAAAAAUUAGCGGAUGACCUGUGGCUGGGGGUGAAAGGCCAAUCAAACCGGGAGAUAGCUGGUUCUCCCCGAAAGCUAUUUAGGUAGCGCCUCGUGAAUUCAUCUCCGGGGGUAGAGCACUGUUUCGGCUAGGGGGCCAUCCCGGCUUACCAACCCGAUGCAAACUGCGAAUACCGGAGAAUGUUAUCACGGGAGACACACGGCGGGUGCUAACGUCCGUCGUGAAGAGGGAAACAACCCAGACCGCCAGCUAAGGUCCCAAAGUCAUGGUUAAGUGGGAAACGAUGUGGGAAGGCCCAGACAGCCAGGAUGUUGGCUUAGAAGCAGCCAUCAUUUAAAGAAAGCGUAAUAGCUCACUGGUCGAGUCGGCCUGCGCGGAAGAUGUAACGGGGCUAAACCAUGCACCGAAGCUGCGGCAGCGAACGUAUCACCCAAGACAACUUUACGGAGUUGACGAUUGACGGAGCGAAGCGACGUCAAAGCGUUCAUUAAAGUCGAGUUGGCUUAGGGAUACGUUCGUUGGGUAGGGGAGCGUUCUGUAAGCCUGUGAAGGUGUGUCGUGAGGCAUGCUGGAGGUAUCAGAAGUGCGAAUGCUGACAUAAGUAACGAUAAAGCGGGUGAAAAGCCCGCUCGCCGGAAGACCAAGGGUUCCUGUCCAACGUUAAUCGGGGCAGGGUGAGUCGACCCCUAAGGCGAGGCCGAAAGGCGUAGUCGAUGGGAAACGGGUUAAUAUUCCCGUACUUGGUGUUACUGCGAAGGGGGACGGAGAAGGCUAUGUUGGCCGGGCGACGGUUGUCCCGGUUUAAGCGUGUAGGUGUGUGUUCCAGGUAAAUCCGGUUCACUUUAACACUGAGGCGUGACGACGAGGCACUACGGUGCUGAAGCAACAAAUGCCCUGCUUCCAGGAAAAGCCUCUAAGCAUCAGGUAACACGAAAUCGUACCCCAAACCGACACAGGUGGUCAGGUAGAGAAUACCAAGGCGCUUGAGAGAACUCGGGUGAAGGAACUAGGCAAAAUGGUGCCGUAACUUCGGGAGAAGGCACGCUGACACGUAGGUGAAGUGAUUUACUCAUGGAGCUGAAGUCAGUCGAAGAUACCAGCUGGCUGCAACUGUUUAUUAAAAACACAGCACUGUGCAAACACGAAAGUGGACGUAUACGGUGUGACGCCUGCCCGGUGCCGGAAGGUUAAUUGAUGGGGUCAGCGUAAGCGAAGCUCCUGAUCGAAGCCCCGGUAAACGGCGGCCGUAACUAUAACGGUCCUAAGGUAGCGAAAUUCCUUGUCGGGUAAGUUCCGACCUGCACGAAUGGCGUAAUGAUGGCCAGGCUGUCUCCACCCGAGACUCAGUGAAAUUGAACUCGCUGUGAAGAUGCAGUGUACCCGCGGCAAGACGGAAAGACCCCGUGAACCUUUACUAUAGCUUGACACUGAACAUUGAGCCUUGAUGUGUAGGAUAGGUGGGAGGCUUUGAAGUGUGGACGCCAGUCUGCAUGGAGCCGACCUUGAAAUACCACCCUUUAAUGUUUGAUGUUCUAACGUGGACCCGUAAUCCGGGUUGCGGACAGUGUCUGGUGGGUAGUUUGACUGGGGCGGUCUCCUCCUAAAGAGUAACGGAGGAGCACGAAGGUUGGCUAAUCCUGGUCGGACAUCAGGAGGUUAGUGCAAUGGCAUAAGCCAGCUUGACUGCGAGCGUGACGGCGCGAGCAGGUGCGAAAGCAGGUCAUAGUGAUCCGGUGGUUCUGAAUGGAAGGGCCAUCGCUCAACGGAUAAAAGGUACUCCGGGGAUAACAGGCUGAUACCGCCCAAGAGUUCAUAUCGACGGCGGUGUUUGGCACCUCGAUGUCGGCUCAUCACAUCCUGGGGCUGAAGUAGGUCCCAAGGGUAUGGCUGUUCGCCAUUUAAAGUGGUACGCGAGCUGGGUUUAGAACGUCGUGAGACAGUUCGGUCCCUAUCUGCCGUGGGCGCUGGAGAACUGAGGGGGGCUGCUCCUAGUACGAGAGGACCGGAGUGGACGCAUCACUGGUGUUCGGGUUGUCAUGCCAAUGGCACUGCCCGGUAGCUAAAUGCGGAAGAGAUAAGUGCUGAAAGCAUCUAAGCACGAAACUUGCCCCGAGAUGAGUUCUCCCUGAGACUUAGAGUCUCCUGAAGGAACGUUGAAGACGACGACGUUGAUAGGCCGGGUGUGUAAGCGCAGCGAUGCGUUGAGCUAACCGGUACUAAUGAACCGUGAGGCUUAACCUU